GACGAACGCUGGCGGCGUGCUUAACACAUGCAAGUCGAACGGAAAGGCCCUGCUGUUUUGGGGUGCUCGAGUGGCGAACGGGUGAGUAACACGUGAGUAACCUGCCCUUGACGUUGGGAUAACUACAGGUAACUUGGUCUAAUACCGGAUAGGAGCUUCAGCUGCAUGGUGGGGGUUGGAAAGUUUCGGCGGGUGGGGAUGGACUCGCGGCUGAUCAGCUUGUUGGUGGGGUAGUGGCUUACCAAGGCUUUGACGGGUAGCCGGCCUGAGAGGGUGACCGGCCACAUUGGGACUGAGAUACGGCCCAGACUCCUACGGGAGGCAGCAGUGGGGAAUAUUGCACAAUGGGCGGGAGCGUGAUGCAGCAACGCCGCGGGCGGGAUGACGGCCUUCGGGUUGUAAACCGCUUUCGCCUGUGACGAAGCGUGAGUGACGGUAAUGGGUAAAGAAGCACCGGCUAACUACGUG
RNAcentral lists this ribosomal RNA (468 nucleotides) under uncultured bacterium. RNAcentral describes it as "partial 16S ribosomal RNA". It matches the Rfam family "Bacterial small subunit ribosomal RNA", at positions 28 to 507 of the family's 1533-position model. The record is from RNAcentral.